This is a long non-coding RNA of Cyprinus carpio carpio, 1018 nucleotides long. Lineage: Eukaryota; Metazoa; Chordata; Actinopteri; Cypriniformes; Cyprinidae. The record is from Ensembl.
CAGAAAUCGAUAGAACAUAGAUAUGAUGUUGUAGAAGAAAAUAUUAUUGCUCAGAGGUAGCUUUCAUUGCUUGGGGGAAUUAAUAAAGUCUUGUUUAUGUUCCAUUGAAUUAUGUUUUAUAUAAACUUUUUUCUGAAAAUUUUUUUCCCUCUAUUUCACUUUUUCCUGUUUUAUUAAUUUAUUCCUGUAUUAAUUUGUGGCUGUCCAAUGAUGUUUAAUGUUCUCCGGUGGCUGCGGAUGUAAUCUUUUCCUUUUCCACUCGAGCAGCUGACAGUGAGAUUGGUGGAGGAUGUGUGGGGAUGUUAGCGUCAGCGAACCUGUUAGCAUCUCAUGUGGGAAACAAGCCUGAGUUUGCUGCUGUGAGCUGCUGUCAGUGUCACACAACCCCUAUUUACAUGCUGUGCGGUUCGCAGUAGUAUCCAGACAGAGGUAUUUAGAGCAAUGCUGAUUUCAGGAGGUCACAGGGUCUUUAAAGCUGGGAGAAGAGCCAGUUACUCUCCAGAGAGACACUUCUCUGGCCACAAGGCCACCACCUACAACAUAAAGAUAAUGUCCAUAGCGCACAUAUUUUCUGAGGGGAGAUAUGUGACAAGUCAUCAUUGGUUAUUAAUACCUCUCAGGACUACUGAUAGGAGUAAUAUUGGAUGUUUGCCGAAACUGAAUUGAGAACAUAAACAACAUGGUUGGAAGGAGUUCUGUGUUCUCUAUUGAUCCGCUGGGCUCGUGGAUGCUCCUGCAGGAAUGGCCUGAGCAAUAAACACAGCCAUUAACUGGUUAAUUGGUUUUUCUGAUAUCUCUAUUUGUGACUGAUGAUUGGACAAAGACUGAUGGCAAUCUCUGCAGGGGGCUCAACUAAAAAACAAUCUAUUUCUCAGAUCUACCUGGACUCCUGCCCAGAUUCAUUUCAGGCACAUCUGAUAAUUGCAGGGGUCUUGAUGAGAGAUUAUAUCACUGUCACCCUAAAGAUUAUAGGGUGCUUAUCUUGUACUCUUGGAAAAUUUCUUAGUACAAAGAAUAU